Molecule: ribosomal RNA, 496 nt
Filed under: uncultured bacterium
Lineage: Bacteria
Description: partial 16S ribosomal RNA
Rfam family: Bacterial small subunit ribosomal RNA
Source: RNAcentral
GAUGAACGCUGGCGGCGUGCCUAAUACAUGCAAGUCGAGCGAACAGACGAGGAGCUUGCUCCUCUGACGUUAGCGGCGGACGGGUGAGUAACACGUGGAUAACCUACCUAUAAGACUGGGAUAACUUCGGGAAACCGGAGCUAAUACCGGAUAAUAUAUUGAACCGCAUGGUUCAAUAGUGAAAGACGGUUUUGCUGUCACUUAUAGAUGGAUCCGCGCCGCAUUAGCUAGUUGGUAAGGUAACGGCUUACCAAGGCAACGAUGCGUAGCCGACCUGAGAGGGGGAUCGGCCACACUGGAACUGAGACACGGUCCAGACUCCUACGGGAGGCAGCAGUAGGGAAUCUUCCGCAAUGGGCGAAAGCUUGACGGAGCAACGCCGCGUGAGUGAUGAAGGUCUUCGGAUCGUAAAACUCUGUUAUUAGGGAAGAACAAAUGUGUAAGUAACUAUGCACGUCUUGACGGUACCUAAUCAGAAAGCCACGGCGAACUACGU